AACUGUAUUACAGUAAAAUGUUAUGGAUUAUGAUUUUACAUGUUUAAAUAUUUUACCAUAAUUGGUAAAUAUAUUAUCAAAAUUAAAAUGCAUUUUAACUGCUUUAUUUGAUUGCAGGUUUCCUAAGUGGUACAAAUGAUAAAAUAGCGAAACACAAUGUCUUAAAUAUAAUGGAAAACCAAUAUUUCGUGUCAGUAAAAUAAGCUAUGAUUUCAGAACUUAUCGCAGUUUUUGCUUUUUUUAUUUUUAAACAUUAUUGUUCAUUUCAAUAUUAGACAUGAUACAUGUAUUUCCACGCAGUUUUUUCUAGUAGACCUAUAGGUUCCUUAUUUUAAUUGAACUGAAGUUUUUCCCUACUGGCAACAAUCAAGCAGCUGGUUUUGACAGACGGCACAUACAGAGGAAGAAGAUUGUCAUCUACAACAGAUGAUCAGACAAUAAAAGAGAAGGAGGAUCUUCCAUCAUUUACAGUCUGCUCUGCCAUUCAUUGGUUGUUACCGUCAUAUGCAGCAGGGACAUUCACUCUGGUAAAAGUUAAAGAUGUGCACGGCAUCUCUGGUCCACUGCGUCUGCUGAAACCGAGAAUUGUAAACAGCUGACAACCCACUCUGAAACCGUUGACAUUUUAUUCGUACAAACGUUGAUAAGAUCUCUACUGGUGUACAAUCCAUUAGCAUAUACAAAUAUUGCUAUACUGAAUAAAACAAAAUAAUUACGAAGUAAUGAAACGAUUGUAUUUUUCUUAAAAUC
Molecule: long non-coding RNA, 750 nt
Organism: Mizuhopecten yessoensis (Yesso scallop)
Lineage: Eukaryota; Metazoa; Mollusca; Bivalvia; Pectinida; Pectinidae
Exons: 3
Source: RefSeq, a predicted model, not a curated record